This 428-nucleotide ribosomal RNA is filed under the name uncultured bacterium. RNAcentral's name for it is "partial 16S ribosomal RNA". It matches the Rfam family "Bacterial small subunit ribosomal RNA", at positions 354 to 796 of the family's 1533-position model. The record is from RNAcentral.
GUAGGGAAUAUUGCACAAUGGAGGAAACUCUGAUGCAGCGACGCCGCGUGAGUGAUGAAGGCCUUCGGGUCGUAAAGCUCUGUCGUAUGGGACUAACACAAUGAAGGUACCAUGCAAGAAAGGAUCGGCUAACUUCGUGCCAGCAGCCGCGGUAAGACGAGGGAUCCUAGCGUUGUUCGGAAUUAUUGGGCGUAAAGCGGGUGUAGGCGGAUUUAUAAGUCAGGUGUGAAAUCCCAGGGCUCAACCCUGGAAGUGCACUUGAUACUGUAAGUCUUGAGUGUGGUAGAGGCUAUUAGAAUUCUUGGUGUAGUGGUGAAAUACGUAGAUAUCAAGAGGAAUACCGGAGGCGAAGGCGGAUAGCUGGGCCAACACUGACGCUGAGACCCGAAAGCGUGGGGAUCAAACAGGAUUAGAAACCCUUGUAGUCC